This is a long non-coding RNA of Oncorhynchus tshawytscha (Chinook salmon), 1185 nucleotides long. Lineage: Eukaryota; Metazoa; Chordata; Actinopteri; Salmoniformes; Salmonidae. The record is from Ensembl.
UGGGUACAGAGUGAGAGUGAUACAGAGAGAUGGAGAGAUGGGUACAGAGUGAGAGUGAUACAGAGAGAUGGAGAGAUGGGUACAGAGUGAGAGUGAUACAGAGAGAUGGAGAGAUGGGUACAGAGUGAGAGAGAGUUACAGAGAGAAAGAGAGAUGGGUACAGAGUGAGAGAGAGUUACAGAGAGAAAGAGAGAUGGGUACAGAGUGAGAGAGAGUUACAGAGAGAAAGAGAGAUGGGUACAGAGUGAGAGAGAGUUACAGAGAGAAAGAGAGAUGGGUACAGAGUGAGAGAGAGUUACAGAGAGAAAGAGAGAUGGAGAGAUGGGUACAGAGUGAGAGAGAGUUACAGAGAGAAAGAGAGAAAGAGAGAUGGGUACAGAGUGAGAGAGAGUUACAGAGAGAAAGAGAGAUGGGUACAGAGUGAGAGAGAGUUACAGAGAGAAAGAGAGAUGGAGAGAUGGGAACAGAGUGAGAGAGAGUUACAGAGAGAAAGAGAGAUGGGAACAGAGUGAGAGAGAGUUACAGAGAGAAAGAGAGAUGGGAACAGAGUGAGAGAGAGUUACAGAGAGAAAGAGAGAUGGGUACAGAGUGAGAGAGAGUUACAGAGAGAAAGAGAGAUGGGUACAGAGUGAGAGAGAGUUACAGAGAGAAAGAGAGAUGGGAACAGAGUGAGAGAGAGUUACAGAGAGAAAGAGAGAUGGAGAGAUGGGUACAGAGUGAGAGAGAUACAGAGAGAGAGAGUUACAGAGGGGGAUACAGAGAGAUGGGAACAGAGUGAGGGAUACAGAAUGAAAGAGAGAUGGGUACAGAGUGAGAGAGUUACAGACAGAAAGAGAGAUGGAGAGAUGGGAACAGAGUGAGAGAGAUACAGAGAGAGAGAGUUACAGAGGGGGAUACAGAGAGAUGGGAACAGAGUGAGAGGGAUACAGAAUGAAAGAGAGAUGGGUACAGAGUGAGAGAGAUACAGAGAGGGAUACAGAGAGAUGGAGAGAUGGGAUCAGAGUGAGAGAGAUACAGAGAGAUGGGUACAGAGUGAGAGGGAUACAGAGAGGGAUACAGAGAGAUGGGUACAGAGAGGGAUACAGAGAGAUGGAGAGAUGGGAACAGAGUGAGAGGGAUACAGAGUGAGAGAGUUACAGAGAGGGAUACAGAGAGAUGGAACAGAGUGAGAGAGUUACAGAGAGG